AGUUCCAAACUUAUUUUGAAAUAUAUCUGAAACAGCCCCAGCAAAGAUCACAUGAAGUAAUGCUCUAAAUGACUCUGUGCCAUUCUGGUUCACAUCGUUCCGGGGCAUUAAGCGCCAAUGCUUCAAAACUUUGCCUAAAAAUCCAUCAGUUAAAGUACCUAGAAGUAUCCGCAAAGAAAGACAGAAAGAAAAAAACAGAAUAGAAUGAAGAAAUGACUGAUUUCAAGCAUUAAUACUGGAUGUGAAAUGUUCUACUAAUGCAAUGGAAUGAAAGAAUCUCAGAGAUUUGACCAAGUGAAUGGGAGAAAAUCUGGAAUGGAAUUUUGUUCAUAGACAUUCAAAGAUCAUUGUUCAUAUUUCUGCUAGAAAGAUGGUUCUAAAAUAAAACUCUGGGAGAUUAAACAUGGGAGAGUAAAGACCAGCAGGAAAAUACAGCUUCUCUAAGACUUGUAAUCAAGACACUUGGAAAACAACAGCUUGAUGAAGGAAAAAGUAGAUCUCCAUGAAUUAGGAGAAAGCUGACAGGAACACUAGAAACUACAAGGAAGCUGGAGAAACGGAGCACAACCCCGCAGAGAAAAGAACAAAGCAGCCUGGAAAGUGAACCAUGGCUCCUGGAGGGGUGUGUUUCUCUGCUAACAAGUUCACAGACGUGGAAGUCAUUUGCAGCAAGGCUUAAACUAACCAACAUUUGAAAUGAUAUCUUAUAACAAGGCCAUUCCUAAAAUAAAAAACAAACAAACAAACAAACAAAGUGAAAGGCUAAUAUUGCUGUGAGAAGACACCAGCAGAAAACAAAAAUGCUCAGCACUGGAAACCAUUCUUGUGCCAAAUCACGGAGAGAGGAGAGCUAUAAAAGGGAAAGCCGAUCAGUUUGAGGCUGAUGUUUAAGAUAACAAAAGGACAGAACUACUGGGAUGGGGAGAAGGAAGAAAGGAAAACAUUAUAUGUAUGUUGGUAAAUAUAUAUAAAUGUAUGUUUGUAUAUGUACACUAGAACCAUACUACUAAUCUCUCUUAGUUCAUCAAAAAAAAAAACCAGUUUUUACUGUCACUAUUUGAUUCAUUACCUUUAUAUUUAGAUUUCGUAGCCUGAACAACUAAUUCUGAGAUAACAAUAUGCAAUAUAUUAACUAGUGUUAAUUCCUACUUUUUUUGAAAUUCUGUAUCAGGGCUGGGAAGUUAGCUCAGAGGCAUAAGCGCCUGCCUUGCAAGGGCAGAGUUGUGAAUUCGAUCUCCGGUACCAAAAAAAAAAAAAUUCUGUAUCAUUUCUAUCCUUUGUUUUACUUUUUAAAAUUAAAAAGAAGAUAACAAAAGAACAUCCAACAUGUAUCAAUCAACAUAGUUACAAAAAUGGCUCUUUGGAAACCAAAAAGUUACAUUAUAAGGGUCUACCCAUAGGUUACUUUUACUCUUCAAUGGGGGGGUCUUUUGUUUUGUUUUUAUUUUGAUACUGGGGAUUGAAUGAGGAGCACUCUAUCACUAAGCUACAUCCUCAUCCCAUUUUUGUUUUUAUUUUGAGAUAGAGUCUCACUAAAUUGCCCAGAGGGUCUUAACUUUCGCUUCUCUUGCUUCAGCCUCGCAUGUGCUGGGAUUACAAGCAUGUGUCACCACAACGUGGUCACUAAUUGCUUGGCCAUUUAUUCUUUUUGGAACUGAAAUUCAAGAGCAAACUUCCUAUUUUGGUGUGUUCUUCAGUCCUGGUAAGACUGAUUAGCAAGUUUCCCUCCAUCUUCCCCCCUGACACUUUUCUACCACCAGGUCAGUAAAAGUUCACUGAACUGAAAUAAACUCUCACAUAGUCUUAAAUUAUAAUAAUCUUUGCCAAGUAAUUUCCUCAUAAUCAGAAAAUGUGCAUCUAUUUUACUACUUGUCCUGGUCUGUUGGGUUAUCAAUACUAUAGCCUGUUUGUCACUCACUGUUUCUUUUUUUUCGUUUUUAUUUGUACCAGGAAUCGAACUCACGACCACACACUUGCAAGGCAGGCGCUUAUGCCACUGAGCUAAAUCCCCAGCCUCAUGUGAUUCACUGUUUCCAGACAGCUAUGAUUUGACCCCAGGCACCUUCUUUUUACCUUUCUCCUGUUCCUCUGUAUUGCAAUACACUGAAUGGAAGGAAGAAGAGACAGGAAAGUCAUUUGCAGCAAGCCCUAAACUAACCAGCCAACCAAGAUUUGAAUGGAAAUCUGACAACAAGGUUAUUCCUAAAGUAAAACAUAGAACCAUGUUAAAGACUGGUACUGCUGUGCCUUUUACUCUAGCACCUAUGCCCCGAGUUUCUCUGCACACAGAUCACACCUAAUGCACGAGGCCCGCUAUCUACACUCACAUUCAUGACUGUGCCUCCCCUACAACCCAGCAAACUGCCAUACUGAGUGGACAAGUGUCGGGAGCCGAGCCAGAGGACCUGCCUAAGCAGAUGAGGCCUGUAGGAAAGAGCGAAGCCUUCAGUAGAUUACCCCUCCCAUCGAAUGAUGCCAAGAUGGCGCCCGUUUCCUACUUCCGUAUUCUUACCCUCAGCUUCUGCCUAGCUACAGCUGAUGUCCCCCAAUCAGACUUUGCCACGCCUUGUUACCCUAUAGGACAGGACUAUAGAUAUAAGGACAGAGCAGGAGGUAGAGAGGAAGAGAAGACACGCAGACCAUAGAGAGUGGAGGACUACGCGGGGUUACUCAACAGAGAGAGCCCCACUGGAGAGUCCGAUCAGGGAGGAACGUUCCGGGGACGACCUGUGUGGAGAGUCAAUAAACGCGACCUCUGUCUCUGCA
Cavia porcellus (domestic guinea pig) is the source of this 2766-nucleotide long non-coding RNA. RefSeq lists it as uncharacterized. The record is from RefSeq and is a predicted model, not a curated record. The transcript is spliced from 3 exons. NCBI's taxonomy places the organism in Eukaryota, Metazoa, Chordata, Mammalia, Rodentia, Caviidae.